RNAcentral lists this ribosomal RNA (764 nucleotides) under uncultured Streptococcus sp. Its description in RNAcentral is "bacterial SSU rRNA". It matches the Rfam family "Bacterial small subunit ribosomal RNA", at positions 28 to 776 of the family's 1533-position model. Lineage: Bacteria; Bacillati; Bacillota; Bacilli; Lactobacillales; Streptococcaceae. The record is from RNAcentral.
GACGAACGCUGGCGGCGUGCCUAAUACAUGCAAGUAGAACGCUGAAGGAGGAGCUUGCUUCUCUGGAUGAGUUGCGAACGGGUGAGUAACGCGUAGGUAACCUGCCUGGUAGCGGGGGAUAACUAUUGGAAACGAUAGCUAAUACCGCAUAAGAGUAGAUGUUGCAUGACAUUUGCUUAAAAGGUGCAAUUGCAUCACUACCAGAUGGACCUGCGUUGUAUUAGCUAGUUGGUGGGGUAACGGCUCACCAAGGCGACGAUACAUAGCCGACCUGAGAGGGUGAUCGGCCACACUGGGACUGAGACACGGCCCAGACUCCUACGGGAGGCAGCAGUAGGGAAUCUUCGGCAAUGGACGGAAGUCUGACCGAGCAACGCCGCGUGAGUGAAGAAGGUUUUCGGAUCGUAAAGCUCUGUUGUAAGAGAAGAACGAGUGUGAGAGUGGAAAGUUCACACUGUGACGGUAUCUUACCAGAAAGGGACGGCUAACUACGUGCCAGCAGCCGCGGUAAUACGUAGGUGGCAAGCGUUAUCCGGAUUUAUUGGGCGUAAAGAGAGUGCAGGCGGUUCUCUAAGUCUGAUGUGAAAGCCUUCGGCUUAACCGGAGAAGUGCAUCGGAAACUGGAUAACUUGAGUGCAGAAGAGGGUAGUGGAACUCCAUGUGUAGCGGUGGAAUGCGUAGAUAUAUGGAAGAACACCAGUGGCGAAGGCGGCUACCUGGUCUGCAACUGACGCUGAGACUCGAAAGCAUGGGUAGCGAACAGG